Molecule: small nuclear RNA, 108 nt
Organism: Cervus hanglu yarkandensis (Yarkand deer)
Lineage: Eukaryota; Metazoa; Chordata; Mammalia; Artiodactyla; Cervidae
Source: Ensembl
GUGCUCACUUCGGCAGCACAUAUACUAAAAUUUGGAAUGAUACAGAGAAGAUUAGCAUGGCACCCGCACAAGGAUGACAGGCAAAUUCAUGAAGCGUUCCAUAUUUUU